This 77-nucleotide transfer RNA is filed under the name Bacillota bacterium. Its description in RNAcentral is "tRNA-Arg". It matches the Rfam family "tRNA". From Rfam's summary of the family: Transfer RNA (tRNA) molecules are approximately 80 nucleotides in length. Their secondary structure includes four short double-helical elements and three loops (D, anti-codon, and T loops). Further hydrogen bonds mediate the characteristic L-shaped molecular structure. tRNAs have two regions of fundamental functional importance: the anti-codon, which is responsible for specific mRNA codon recognition, and the 3' end, to which the tRNAs corresponding amino acid is attached (by aminoacyl-tRNA synthetases). tRNAs cope with the degeneracy of the genetic code in two manners: having more than one tRNA (with a specific anti-codon) for a particular amino acid; and 'wobble' base-pairing, i.e. permitting non-standard base-pairing at the 3rd anti-codon position. The record is from RNAcentral. Lineage: Bacteria; Bacillati; Bacillota. RNAcentral also lists the same sequence under 1 other name.
GCUCCCAUAGCGCAAUUGGAUAGAGCGUUAGACUACGGAUCUAAAGGUUAGGGGUUCGACUCCCUUUGGGAGCACCA